GCAUAUCAAUAAGCGGAGGAAAAGAAACCAACAGGGAUUGCCCUAGUAACGGCGAGCGAAGCGGCAACAGCUCAAAUUUGAAAUCUGGCUAUUUUGUAGUCCGAGUUGUAAUUUGUAGAGGAUGCUUUUGGUGAGGUGCCUUCCGAGUUCCCUGGAACGGGACGCCAGAGAGGGUGAGAGCCCCGUACGGUUGGAUACCAAACCUUUGUAUAGCUCCUUCGACGAGUCGAGUAGUUUGGGAAUGCUGCUCUAAAUGGGAGGUAUAUCUCUUCUAAAGCUAAAUAUAGGCUAGAGACCGAUAGCGCACAAGUAGAGUGAUCGAAAGAUGAAAAGCACUUUGAAAAGAGAGUUAAACAGCACGUGAAAUUGUUGAAAGGGAAGCGCCUAUGACCAGACUUGUUUCUUUCAGUUUUGUUAGUUUUCGGACUGAUUUACUCUGUUAGUACAGGCCAGCAUCAGUUUGUUGUCAGGGAGAAAGGCUUAGGGAAUGUGGCUCUUUCGGGAGUGUUAUAGCCCUUUGCAUAAUACCUUUCGGCAGACUGAGGACCGCGCUUCGGCAAGGAUGCUGGCGUAAUGGUCAUCAGCGACCCGUCUUGAAACACGGACCAAGGAGUCAACCUUAUGUGCGAGUGUUUGGGUGUAAAACCCCAGCGCGUAAUGAACGUGAACGUAGGUGAGAGCUUCGGCGCAUCAUCGACCGAUUCUGAUGUUCUCGGAUGGAUUUGAGUAAGAGCACACAGGGUUGGACCCGAAAGAAGGUGAACUAUGCUUGUAUAGGGUGAAGCCAGAGGAAACUCUGGUGGAGGCUCGCAGCGGUUCUGACGUGCAAAUCGAUCGUCAAAUAUGAGCAUGGGGGCGAAAGACUAAUCGAACCUUCUAGUAGCUGGUUCAGC
Molecule: ribosomal RNA, 893 nt
Filed under: Berkeleyomyces basicola
Lineage: Eukaryota; Fungi; Ascomycota; Sordariomycetes; Microascales; Ceratocystidaceae
Description: LSU rRNA
Rfam family: Eukaryotic large subunit ribosomal RNA
Source: RNAcentral